Molecule: ribosomal RNA, 253 nt
Filed under: uncultured bacterium
Lineage: Bacteria
Description: partial 16S ribosomal RNA
Rfam family: Bacterial small subunit ribosomal RNA
Source: RNAcentral
UACGAAGGGAGCGAGCGUUGUUCGGAAUUACUGGGCGUAAAGCGUACGUAGGCGGUUUUGUAAGUCAGGUGUGAAAUCCCAGGGCCUAACCCUGGAACUGCAUUUGAGACUGCAAGACUGGAGUGUCGGAGAGGUUGGCGGAAUUCCCAGUGUAGAGGUGAAAUUCGCAGAUAUUGGGAAGAACACCAAUGGCGCAGGCAGCCAACUGGACGACAACUGACGCUGAUGUACGAAAGCGUGGGGAGCAAACAGG